ACACACACACGUCUUCUAUCUUUUGGGAUACUCACACACACACACACAUGUCUUCUAUCUUUUGGGAUACUCACACACACAUGUCUUCUAUCUUUUGGGAUACUCACACACACACACACACACACAUACACGUCUUCUAUCUUUUGGGAUACAGGACAUGCCAGGUAUUGUGAAGAGGAUGAAAGAUUCAGUUUGUUCCACUUGAAGCUUCCAUCCGUCCCAGUUCACGUUUCCCCCGUCCUUCUUCAUAUCAUUUGUCCAUAGGUAGGGUGAAACAAAUUU
Molecule: long non-coding RNA, 282 nt
Filed under: Callithrix jacchus (white-tufted-ear marmoset)
Lineage: Eukaryota; Metazoa; Chordata; Mammalia; Primates; Cebidae
Description: lncRNA (ENSCJAG00000072001.1)
Source: RNAcentral